This 415-nucleotide ribosomal RNA is filed under the name Bacillus subtilis. RNAcentral's name for it is "bacterial SSU rRNA". The stretch from base 27 to 323 matches the Rfam family "Bacterial small subunit ribosomal RNA", at positions 60 to 350 of the family's 1533-position model. The record is from RNAcentral. Lineage: Bacteria; Bacillati; Bacillota; Bacilli; Caryophanales; Bacillaceae.
UUCAAGGAGGGCGGUGCUAUACAUGCAGUCGAGCGGACAGAUGGGAGCUUGCUCCCUGAUGUUAGCGGCGGACGGGUGAGUAACACGUGGGUAACCUGCCUGUAAGACUGGGAUAACUCCGGGAAACCGGGGCUAAUACCGGAUGGUUGUUUGAACCGCAUGGUUCAAACAUAAAAGGUGGCUUCGGCUACCACUUACGGAUGGACCCGCGGCGCAUUAGCUAGUUGGUGAGUAUGGCUCACCAAGGCAACCAUGCGUUGCCGACCUGAGAGGGUGUUCGGCCCCACUGGUUCUGAUCCCCGCUCCUGACUCCAUGGUACGCCAUGCACGAAUCUUCCGGCUGAAUCACAGUCCGACCGAUAACGGCGCUUUUACCUAAUUUCCCUAUCCUCAUCUCCCUUCCGCCAGAUAACAC